UGCCUGUCAACGUCUCUGUACA
This 22-nucleotide microRNA is filed under the name Branchiostoma floridae (Florida lancelet). RNAcentral describes it as "bfl-miR-4860-5p". RNAcentral also lists the same sequence under 2 other names. The record is from miRBase by way of RNAcentral. Lineage: Eukaryota; Metazoa; Chordata; Leptocardii; Amphioxiformes; Branchiostomatidae.